UUGGUCGAGUGAACCACCUAAACGUCACGAAUUUCAUUGUUUUUUAGCCUACGUCACGGUGGGAAAUCGCUGCUGACUGUUGCACUUAAGCCCACGAGCACCAAAAUUUCAUUCUGACUGGUGCACUUGAGCCAGCGUUAUAAAUCUUCAAACCUUCAAAAUUAUAAUUACAUGACUAUGGCAUUUGGCUUAUUUAUAUCUUGAAGUCAUCAUGGCUGAAAGUAGGCAUAUAUACGAUUUUGGCUCAUUGAUUCAAGACAGUAAAACCAGCGAGAUUUCUUCUGUAAGAAAAGAUUAUGAAGCAAAAGUCUCUGCUGCCAUUCCGACUAAAACAGACCUGUUUCGAAAAGGAAAGCUGGCGAGAGAUCUUAACGCAGAGUUGAUUAUCCCUAACCAUAUGGGAGAUAAUUGGCGGGCUUUAAAAGGUGAUGGUAACUGCGUGAACAUUUCUUUGCUAUAUCUACGUAUCUUUUUCUGCUGUUGGAGGAGUGAUAUUAUCAAUGAAAGAAGAAGAAUAACAUUUAUUAUUACUUGUUGCCUGCCUUUAGUACGAUGAUUACAUCUUGAACAUUUCUUUGCUAUAUCUACGUAUCUUUUUCUGCUGCUGUUGGAUGAGUUGUAUCAAGUGUGAUUAAUGGUCAAAAACUUGUGCUUUUUGUGAGAUAUAAAAGGUUUCUUUGCGUUUCACGACAAAAAAUAUGCCAAGCUUCUACCUUUUCAAAAUCACUCGUGGAUUGGAAUGAUACCUUCCUGAUUGUAAGUUUUGGCGAAGGUGUGAAACUUGAUAAAUCUGAUAGUAGUAAUGAAAAUGUUUAAAGGUUAGUGGAAUUUUAGAUUUUAUAUCAUUGAAAUUUGCGAAAAGUUUACAAACUAAGUAAAGCCAAGUUUUUUUUAAAUUCUGUUGUCAAAACGUAGGAAAUCGCAUUUCCGACGGUCUAAAAUAUAAAAUUUUCCGGGGGGGAUCCUCCCAGACCCUCCUACAGAGCUAGCGCCUUUGGCGCUCACAGUGGUGCAUCAGUCACGAAAAUUGCUGGAUCCGCCCCUGCUACUGACGCCAUCAAGUUUUUGUAAGACUUAACUAAAAGCUAAAUAAUAUGCAAUCAAGAUCCCUAUGAAGUUUUGGAGAAGUAAAAUUAACUAAGCAGAGAAAUAAUAACACUUCAAAAGGCAAAAAAAUCUGACAGAAUGUUCGAAAUCCUACCUUUGCACAGUAAACAAAUUCCAACAGCGUCUUAUAAGCGGAUUAUUGUCGAUAUAUAUCAUACAUUAUGCGCAAAAAACUCAAUGGUACAAUGUCAUAUGUUUUAGUAGUUUUACUUUAGAGAUCGCUUUGUGGUAAUUUUACUCUAUAAGAGUUGACGUCAUUUAUGAAAAGCGGACUUGUUCAAGGACCUAUUUAUGGACUGAAAGCCCAAUAUGAAAGAAAUUAUUAGUUAUUAAAAACCACCUGUUGCCAUUACAUAAACCUUCGAAAUGACAAAUAUAUUUAAAGCAAGAACAAUAAUACGAUGUUGAAUUUUAUUGCACGUUUUAUUGCACCUUAAAAUUAGAUGGACGAGAUGAGGACCACAUGUCGUUAUAUACCAGUUUUUAUAUGUUAAAGUACAACUAUAUUAAAUAAUACAACGUAUGUUUUGUCCAUGAUUCACGUUUAGUAAAUUUUAACAUUUGUAUUGUUUUAUCUUCAAAAUCUACAAACACACAUAACUUUUUUUAAGAAUUAUACGCAUGCCUUGCAAAAAAUUAAUCAAAGUAGCCAAAAAAAUUAUAGUGCACACGGCAUCGGCUUGCUUCUACCUCGUAUUAGUAACUUACACAGGUCCGCCUGACUCCGUCAUUAGUAGUAAGCAAAACUUUACCCAAAUUCAAGUUAAUUGUGAUAUAUGUAUGGCAUCGAGCAUAUUUACAAAGCACUUGGUAUGACAAAAAAAUUAUUACAUUAAAAUUCCUUUUCAGUUAGUUUACACCAUUAUGGCAGCUUUUAUAUUAGGUGAAAGCGCUCUAUCAUUAAUUUAGAUUGUUCCUGUUUGUUAAGUAGCUACAUGUCAUUUCCUUCAGUGUCUUCCUUUUUACAAAAAUAGAGGCACUGAAUAAUGUUGAAGAAAUUUGAAUACUGUUGUGGGUAACAUAUGUAUGUAAAUUAUACACUCCAAAUAAAUUAUUCAGAAAGUUUUGACCUAA
Molecule: long non-coding RNA, 2181 nt
Organism: Xenia sp. Carnegie-2017
Lineage: Eukaryota; Metazoa; Cnidaria; Anthozoa; Malacalcyonacea; Xeniidae
Exons: 2
Source: RefSeq, a predicted model, not a curated record